GUCUAUAUUACCCCAGAAACUCUUAAAGAAGAAAGUAGAACAAAAACAACCCAAAGGACCAUGAAAUAAGCCGAUGUUGCCCAAGCCCACAGCCUAGGCCCCCCAAGCUCAGCACCAAAUACUAUGCGGCGGAGAACCAAAACUGUGAUACAACCAAAAGAUGUUGCGAAGAAGACCAGAAGUGAGAAGCUGAGACCAGCAGCAUUGUCUAUGUACAAUGGUUCCUGGUAG
RNAcentral lists this ribosomal RNA (231 nucleotides) under Triticum aestivum (bread wheat). RNAcentral's name for it is "partial small subunit ribosomal RNA". The record is from RNAcentral. Lineage: Eukaryota; Viridiplantae; Streptophyta; Magnoliopsida; Poales; Poaceae.